AAUUGUGCUUCACUACUUCACCUAAUCCAAUCAUCGGUGGCCAAAUGGAUUUUAAUAUAACUGGUGAGUUCCAGAUGUGGGAAUGGGAGGGAGAAUUAUGGGUCCCCCUUUCUCCCUUUAAUAAUAAUAAUAAUAAUAAUAAUUAUUAUUAUUAUUAUUAUUAUUAUUAUUAUUAUUAUUAUUAUUUUAUAUUUCACCCUUCUCCCUGUGGGAACUCAGAGCGGAUUACAGCAUAUAAACAGACACAGGCAAACAUUCGACGACUUGUUACAAUGAAAUACAAUGAGGCACAAAUACACAGACAAAGGCAAAGGCUUCUCCUUUCAUUUCCGGCUCUGGGGGUGGUGCUCAUCUCUGUCUCUGGGGGAGGUGCUCUUCUCCAUUUCCAAGCUGAGGAGCCUGCAUUGUCCGCAGAUACCUCCUGGUUGUGUGGCUGGCAUGGCUGCUUGGAGUGUCUUUUUGCCUUUUCCCACUGAAACAGUACCUAUUUAUGUACUCACGUUUGCAUGUUUUCAAACUGCUAGGUUGGCAGAAGAUAGGGUUAACAGCAGGAGCUCACCCUGUUCCAUGGAUUCGAACUGCCAACCUUCAGGUCAGCAGUUCAGCAGCACAAGGGUUUAAACCAUUGCGUCACCACGGUCCCCCAUAGUGUUGUCCAGUCCACUAAGAACAAAAGAGGCAACUGUGACCAAACCGGUUGCUUUAGAACAUUGUUCUAUUUUCAGAGCAUUGUUUAAUCCACUUAAAAGCAAGAUAGCAUGUCCAAAAUAUGGGUGAAGCCAAUCUCCAGACAAGGCAAGAAAAUCAUCACAUUCAGUACAGUGGCACCAGCUUGUGGCUAUGAAUUUCUACAUUGCUUGCAUUGCACAUACAGAGGUGCUUAGAAAGUCUUCCACCCAAGAGCAGAUGAAGCUAGAUGUGUUAAGUUUCAACAGACCCAUUCUAUCCUCAGUGUUCAGGUACUGCCCUCUUCUUUCUUCUGUACACAUUUUUGACUGUUCAUUCUAUUUUUCUUCCUCAGAGUUUUGCAAGACAAUAGUUGGGGCUACAUAUGCAAACUACUAUUAUCCAGAUACAACAACAGACAGCUUGCGCUGUGUGAGUAACUGCACCAAGGGCAGUGCGUAUGCUAUCAAUUGCUACCAUGGGGUUUGCCGCAUCUCUGACAAAGGCCCCAACUGCAACUGUAAUGACCGGAAUACCUUUUGGUAUGUAGACAAUAACUGCCAGACGCGUUUCCAGAAGAGUGAGGUGGGUCUUGGUAUUGGGAUGGCUGUCCUCUUCCUGAUUGCUAUCAUCUUGGCUGUCUUCCUCUUCAGAACCUAUCGGAGAAAGUCUGAGUCUAGAUACUCUGAUGGAGAUAACCUCAUUUAUGAAGACACUAAAGAGGAAGAAUGGCUACCCCCGUGGACCCUGAACUUCACAAAUGAGGCAGCUGACUUCCACAAUGGUGGGGACCCAUUUUGCCAUGAGCAAAGUGCCAGGCAGCCUGUGGGAUAUUACAAGGAGCAACUAAUUAUGAUGUCAUGA
This 1530-nucleotide long non-coding RNA is filed under the name Anolis carolinensis (green anole). RNAcentral describes it as "lncRNA (ENSACAG00000033903.2)". Lineage: Eukaryota; Metazoa; Chordata; Lepidosauria; Squamata; Anolidae. The record is from RNAcentral.